UUUUUUGCGCAGUGGCAGUAUAAUAACCAAUGAAGUUAAUCUGAGGUGUGAUUAUUGCUAGUUGAAAACUUUUCCCUUCUUGGGAUGCACAGAUGUGAAAGGACUAUAUGCCAGCCUAGAGAGACCACUGAGCUAAUAUUUUACAUAGAUCUGU
RNAcentral lists this small nuclear RNA (154 nucleotides) under Chelonoidis abingdonii (Abingdon island giant tortoise). RNAcentral describes it as "U4 spliceosomal RNA (ENSCABG00000020971.1)". The stretch from base 1 to 80 matches the Rfam family "U4 spliceosomal RNA". From Rfam's summary of the family: U4 small nuclear RNA (U4 snRNA) is a component of the major U2-dependent spliceosome. The structure of U4 snRNA from yeast and human has been reported. U4 snRNA presents a k-turn RNA motif in the 5p-SL related to recognition of Snu13 protein. The record is from RNAcentral. Lineage: Eukaryota; Metazoa; Chordata; Testudines; Testudinidae.